Molecule: RNA transcript, 809 nt
Organism: Peromyscus eremicus (cactus mouse)
Lineage: Eukaryota; Metazoa; Chordata; Mammalia; Rodentia; Cricetidae
Gene name: zinc finger matrin-type protein 2
Exons: 2
Source: RefSeq, a predicted model, not a curated record
CUGUGAAGAUGGCGUCGGGCAGCGGGACAAAAAACUUGGACUUUCGCCGAAAGUGGGACAAAGAUGAAUACGAGAAACUCGCGGAGAAGAGACUCACAGAAGAGAGAGAAAAGAAGGAUGGAAAACCAGUGCAGCCCGUCAAGCGGGAGCUUCUUCGGCACAGAGACUACAAGGUGGACUUGGAGUCCAAGCUUGGGAAGACAAUCGUCAUUACCAAGACAACCCCACAGUCUGAAAUGGGAGGCUACUACUGCAAUGUCUGUGACUGUGUGGUGAAGGACUCCAUCAACUUCCUGGACCACAUUAAUGGAAAGAAACAUCAGCGAAACCUGGGUAUGUCUAUGCGUGUGGAACGCUCCACUCUGGAUCAGGUAAAGAAACGUUUUGAGGUCAACAAGAAGAAGAUGGAAGAGAAGCAGAAAGAUUAUGAUUUUGAGGAAAGGAUGAAGGAACUGAGAGAAGAGGAGGAAAAGGCUAAAGCAUACAAGAAAGAGAAGCAGAAGGAGAAGAAAAGGAGGGCUGAGGAGGACUUGACGUUUGAGGAGGAUGACGAGAUGGCAGCUGUGAUGGGCUUCUCUGGCUUUGGCUCCGCCAAGAAGAGUUACUGAGGCAUUCUCUUGGGCCUAACUCUGGCCUAUACUGGACCUAACUUUGAGUGUGUGUUGAGGUUCUUGGAAGAACCUGUUUGAUGCAAAAAAGAAUGAAAACAAGACAAAAGAACCCUAAAACCAAACAAACUCUGGGGGACCUUGGUUCUCAGACACUGUUCAACGUGUACAAUAAAUGACACUGACUGGGCCUGUUUCACA